CAGAAUGCUGCGGUGAAUACGUUCCCGGGUCUUGUACACACCGCCCGUCACACCAUGGGAGUCGGAAAUGCCCGAAGCCGGUGACCCAACCAAAAGGAGGGAGCCGUCGAAGGCAGGUCUGAUAACUGGGGUGAAGUCGUAACAAGGUACC
RNAcentral lists this ribosomal RNA (151 nucleotides) under uncultured bacterium. RNAcentral describes it as "partial 16S ribosomal RNA". It matches the Rfam family "Bacterial small subunit ribosomal RNA", at positions 1350 to 1500 of the family's 1533-position model. The record is from RNAcentral.